This 74-nucleotide transfer RNA is filed under the name Blastococcus fimeti. Its description in RNAcentral is "Blastococcus sp. DSM 44205 tRNA_Gly_TCC". It matches the Rfam family "tRNA". From Rfam's summary of the family: Transfer RNA (tRNA) molecules are approximately 80 nucleotides in length. The record is from RNAcentral. Lineage: Bacteria; Bacillati; Actinomycetota; Actinomycetes; Geodermatophilales; Geodermatophilaceae.
GCGGGUGUAGCUCAAUGGUAGAGCCCCAGCCUUCCAAGCUGGCCAUGCCGGUUCGAUCCCGGUCACCCGCUCUA